This 460-nucleotide ribosomal RNA is filed under the name uncultured bacterium. Its description in RNAcentral is "partial 16S ribosomal RNA". It matches the Rfam family "Bacterial small subunit ribosomal RNA", at positions 338 to 795 of the family's 1533-position model. The record is from RNAcentral.
CCUACGGGAGGCAGCAGUGAGGAAUAUUGGUCAAUGGGCGCGAGCCUGAACCAGCCAAGUAGCGUGAAGGAUGACUGCCCUACGGGUUGUAAACUUCUUUUAUCAGGGAAUAAAGUGAGGCACGUGUGCCGGUUUGUGUGUACUUUAUGAAUAAGGAUCGGCUAACUCCGUGCCAGCAGCCGCGGUAAUACGGAGGAUCCGAGCGUUAUCCGGAUUUAUUGGGUUUAAAGGGAGCGUAGAUGGGUUGUUAAGUCAGUUGUGAAAGUUUGCGGCUCAACCGUAAAAUUGCAAUUGAUACUGGCAGUCUUGAGUACAGUUGAGGUAGGCGGAAUGCGUGGUGUAGCGGUGAAAUGCUUAGAUAUCACGAAGAACUCCGAUUGCGAAGGCAGCUUACUAAACUGCCACUGACAUUGAUGCGCGAAAGUGUGGGUAUCAAACAGGAUUAGAUACCCCAGUAGUC